GUCGUCUAUGAUGGCGACCUCCUAGCUCGGGUAAGUAGUACCUCCCCUCCGUGGUGCCCAAGUCAAGCCAUGGGGUUCGUCCACAAGGUCCCCUCCCCUGUCACUCUCUCAUUUGUUUCGAUUUGAUUUCGCAGGUUGUUCGUCAAGUUGGCGCUACUGUCUAGAGUAUCCCGACGACAGAGGGGGAGAACAAGGACCACCGGCGCCAAGGGCUGACUAGAACCAACACCUCCAAGCAGCCAUGGUGCUCGGAUCCCUCCCCUGGAGCGCGUCAAGGUCCUUCUUGCCCUCCUCGCAGCAUGCAUCUCUCCCACUCCCUCAACUCUUGCUGUUCGUGAUGAUAGAUCCCAGGGCUCCUUGUUUUUUUCUGUGUUUUGAGAGUAGAAAAUGUUGACACUUAGGAAUUGCCAUGGUGAUUCACGCAUAACAACAAGGAAUCCUUCCAAGAGAGCAUUGGUAUGGUGUCACAAAGGACAGCAGCAGCAGAGAGAAUAUUAACACCUCUAUCUGAAAAACAUCACUAAGUGUUAGAUUUUGGUAGAAAGACAACAUGUACGUAGCCUAAGAUCAGACCUUGUGAAGCAACAAAUAAAAAACAUUGUGAUUGGUUCAUGGUCAUGGCACAUCAACAAUGAAUACUUGCUAAUUGGUGGUCGUGGUGGUCAUUGUACAUGUUAGAUGCCCCUGGAAAACGCAAUUCUACCCUUUCUUCUGUUCUAGGUCAAUUAUCUAAAAAUCCCCAAUUUCUAGUUCUUAGUUACUGUUCAUGGCUAAAGAUUAGUGCAGGAUUCCCUCACUUGAUGCCAUGCCAUGCCAGCCUUGGGUUGAUCCUCUCUUGACAAUUCCAUUUGAUUUGUCUUGAUUCAAGGUCAAAGUGCAAAGCCGGGUCACACGCCAAUCAGGACAUAGGUGUUCUGAUUAUUUUACCAGAAGAGGUACGCUGCCCUUACCGACAUAGGUGUUCCCAAAGUACCACUAAUUGUUCCUUUAAGAACGGAACACCCAAUUUUGCAUUUACGUCCAGCGCAGUUUCUGCAUGUGUGGCAAGCACAAACAGUACGGAUAAUGGCAUUUAUUUAUAUACCUUUUUGACAAGGCAGAUUUAUGUGAUGGACAUGACCAUACAGCCAAUUAUGUUUUCUAUCUUUUCAAUGGAUGAUGGAUGCUUCUUUUCCCUUCUUGUUCUGUUCAGCAAAGUUUACUUUUGAUGCUAUUGUAGUUUCAGUUUUGGUCGCUGAAUGUGAUGAACUUUAGGGAGUCAUAACAGUAGUAAACUGAGAGUGUACAGGGAUUACUUUAGUUUUGGUGUCAAGCCAGAUUUAUGGGAUGCCUUGGACCAUAAUGCUCACUGCCAAUUAUAAGGAUGAAAACAUCCAUUUAAUUAGUUUCUGUGGUUGGUUUGUAUGUGUUGAACGUGUGUUUGUGAUUCUUUCAACCUCCGUUAGUUACCCUGCUUUCUUGUGUCUGAACAGUGGCCCGUGUUAACAUGACCAUUAAUGCUACCUUGCUCCUAGAACUGGUUCUAGCUAUUGCAUGUGUUCUCCUUAUUGAUAAUUGUAGCUAUCCUUGUUAGCACAUUUAGCUGGUUGCUCUUCUAGGAUUAUACCUACUAAAAUAGUAAUCUAAACCCUCUUAUAUUAGUUUACAGAGGGAGUACAAGUUUAAUUAGACAUAUGAUGUACUAGAUGGGAUUAUGUUAACAAAUGCCUACUGCCUCGCUUGGAUGAGUUGAUCUACACUCCUUCAUUGAUGAUUGAUUAUGACCGAAAGAAAACUUUUUUGCAGGGACUUGUUGAUUACAAUGAUCCACUUGGAGCUCCUCUCUGCCCCUGCAGGUGAUUAAUCACCUUUCUAUGGUAGCCCGCCGUCAGGAGCAGCAGUGGAUGGGUUAGAGCACUAGUCGAUAUAGACUUCUCUUGGAGCAAUACACCCGCUGCUCAGUCAAGUAAUCCGUCACCAUUGUUGUUAGACGAGCAUGGAAAUAUGCAUUAAUUUACCGAGCCCUAAGCUUGUCUUGACUAUUGACUAGGUGUAGUUAAGGACUCUAUGGGUUAGAUGAGUACAUGGUGAUGUUGUUGUGCUGCGUUAAUCUGCACAGUAGAAUGUGAGUUAUGUUUGAUCUUUGAGACCUUGAUGUUUCUAAUGUGAAAGCAUAUCUGGAUCCAUACAACUCUAGAUGACUAAUUGCA
This 2189-nucleotide long non-coding RNA is filed under the name Triticum aestivum (bread wheat). RNAcentral's name for it is "long non-coding RNA (TAES_LNC007874)". The record is from RNAcentral. Lineage: Eukaryota; Viridiplantae; Streptophyta; Magnoliopsida; Poales; Poaceae.